CUUUGUAUUAUUUUGAUAUAGUUUAGGUAUUGAUUUUUGGAAAAUAUAAUAUUUUAGAAACAUGAUAACAAAUGUUAUCAUAGGUUUUUUAAGGCUGUUCUGGAAUGACAUUUGUUAGGUUUUGUUUACUUCAAGGUCUGAUACAGAAACUGGAGUAAUUCUCAUUUAAUUAAUUAGAGUAUUUUAUUGUUCAUUCGUUUGCCACCCGGCUUUUGUUUUGGGUCCUUUAAAUUCGAGAUCAUUCAGUGCGGCGUUCUUUUUGUGACGAGAUCCUCUUGAUAGUGAUCGGACGGCCGUAUAAGGGCCUGGAGCCCGGCAUGCCACGUGCUGCCGUGGCGUUCCAUAUUUUGUGUGGUGCGUUCUGUCAGUCUGACUGGCAGAAACAUGCUAAGGGUGGGAGUGCUCCGUGGAGAUCCUCGGUCUGCAGUCUGCAGGUGUCCGGAGUCGGGAAGAAGUAAAGAAUUAGAGAAUUGCAGAAGUAAAGAAUUACAGAAGUAAAAGCUUUUAACAAUUUUGAUGUGCAAGGAAACUUUCUUUGGCGUACUGGCGGAAGGUGUCUUUGGACCUUGUUUUCGUAUGGAAGGGUCAGCCCUGUCCACGUGGCGAGGGGGCGUCAGCACCGGAGUCCGGGGAGCAGCCGGCUCAAC
Molecule: long non-coding RNA, 647 nt
Filed under: Leguminivora glycinivorella
Lineage: Eukaryota; Metazoa; Arthropoda; Insecta; Lepidoptera; Tortricidae
Description: uncharacterized LOC125230938
Source: RNAcentral